CUUUGCCCCUCGCCUCAGCCUCAACUCAUGUCGAAUCUAUCCAAAAUCAGAAUCAUGGCGUCAAAUAUGCUAAGGGAACGAAGCCCAUGCGAAAAUAAUCAAAUUACAACACAAAUCCCGAAAUUAACAAACUCGCCCCCCCGGUCCACGUCUCGAAAUCCAAAAAAAAAUUAUAUCAAUAAACCCCUUAUCCUCCCACGAGUCCAUACAUACAAAGAAUACCAAAAUCCGACAACGAAUGACCCCUCAAACCCUUAAUCAAAGGUCUCCAAUCUCAAGCCCUAGUUUCUUCAAUAUUUACCCACAAAUUUCCAAAAAUUUCAAUCCUAAUCAAUGGAAUAACACCAUAGGAACGAGUUUUAUGUUUAAAAAUCUUAUCUCAAUGAAGUUCCCUUGGAUUCCCUCUUCAAAAUCCCCCAAAAAGCUCCAAAAUCGAAUUAAAAAUGGUGAAGAAAGGCUGAAAUUCGCGAAGGAUGAAAUAUAUACUUUCUGACCCAGGCUUUUUGCACCUGCGGUCUAUUGCCGCUUCUGCGCUACCGCUUCCGCGGUCAAAGACACCGCUUUUGCGGUUUUUCACUUAAGUACCACUUCCGCACCUAUAACCCAGACUCCGCAUCUGCGGUCCGCAGGUGCUGUCGCACCUCCUUUUUACCACCCGAGGGGGCAUAUAAGGAAGUUUUUUAAAUUUAAGUGACAAUUGAAACUGGAUUAUUUAUUAAAAUUCAGAUUCGCCACUUGGGAUAACUUAUGGUGUCCCAAGUCAUCGGUUUAAAUCCCAAAUCGAGGAAGUUUGACUCUAUUUUACAGUCUGCGAACACAGAAAUCCGGGUAAGGAACUCUGUUAACCCGGGAGAAGGUGUUAGGAAUUCCCGGGUUCCGUGGUUCAAGCACGGUCUCUUAAACUAUUAUAAUUGGCCUAUUAUCUGAUUUUAAUACAUGUUUUAGCCUAUGGUGCAUUUUUAGCUUAUUAACCGCUUUUAAUUAUUUUAGGAAGAUUAAACGUUAUUUAAAACUUGCCUUGAACCACGCCACAUGAAAUGCACCCGCGGUCCACGACACAUUUUACUUAACGUUGUUGAAAUUGGGUCACAUGAAAUGCACACCCGAAUUUAAUAAAUAAAGAAAAUCAAUUUAAAUAGCGCCUAAAGCAACUAGCGCAUUUGAAUUAUUUUCCUACUUUGAGAUUAUUGUGAAACCAAGAGUUUGUGGAAAUUAUUGUUCGGAGAGAUGUGCACUUAUUAUUAAGCUAACAGGCCAAGAUAUAAAUGUGAUUGACAUUAUCCAAUACGAAAGAGAUGAACCAGCUUGUGCUUAUUUUGUUUAAGGAAUUGGGUCAGGCAUGAUUCUAUUGGGCUAAAUUUCUUUAACUUCUCGUUUGAAAUUAUUUCCUGCAGGCCCUAUUACUAAACUAACUUAGGCCCAACAUCACUUGCUAUUCUUAAAUCCUAAGAAUUCAAUUCUAAUGACGCCCACUGCAGAAUAUCAAAGAACUACUCUAAUGAGUAAACUUAUUGCAACAUGAUUUCAACCAAACAAUAUUCAAACAAUGAUCAAAAGGGUAAUUCUCAUCAAAUAAAACUUCUUCAAAGAAAAGAGAAAGAUUUAGAUUUUUACGGCAAAACACCCAUUUGUUAACAUGUACUAAACAAAAUAAGGAACAUCCAAAACUAUAUUUAACAAAAUUAUCUCAUGAGAAAUAACACGAAUUCACUUGAGCAAAGCACAAAAUAAGAUUCAAAUGCUAGGAUUAGAAAAUGAACCUUUACAUUGGCCGAAUCCAAACUUUAAACUUCUGUGACUCAAUCAUCUAGCCGAGGACAAGGACUACGACCGCAACCAAUAACGAUGACAUCAAACGAAGCUAACGAACACAUUAAACCCAAAAGGAAACACAAACAAUCGAGCUAGCGAAGAACAGGGAAAUGGAUUGUGCCCGUUUGUGGUUCAGGUUGUCGCUGUUUUUGGUUGAUUCUCGUUGUUGAUUUCAGAGGUGUUUUGGAGUCAUUUUUGGGAUGGAGAAGAGGGCUGGCUUGGGGUGGUUGAGGGUAGCAAUUUUGGCAGUGUUUCGUUGCACUUUUGGGACUGUUUUGGAGCUAAUUUCAAGCUGAAACAGGGUAACGUUUUGGUAGUUAAGGACUGUGAAAAUGGCCAGCCUUCAUGACUGUUUUGAGAGGAGGAAAACAGAGGUGUUUGGAUGGUGUUGAGGCUUCUGAUUUGGUGGUGAAAACAGAGGUUCAUGGCUGCAUUUUCGGGCAUAUUUUCAGCUCCCUUUUUGGAGCUUUUGAUCAUCUUUUCUAUGGCUUUUCAUGGAGAUUCAAGGAGCUUUUUUACAUGGUUUAAAUGGAAGAAAGAUUAGUUAUUUUUUACAUGAC
RNAcentral lists this long non-coding RNA (2372 nucleotides) under Nicotiana tabacum (common tobacco). RNAcentral's name for it is "long non-coding RNA (NTAB_LNC012582)". The record is from RNAcentral. Lineage: Eukaryota; Viridiplantae; Streptophyta; Magnoliopsida; Solanales; Solanaceae.